AUGGCGGCGUGUGCCGAACGUAUAGGUGUGCCCUAGGACUGUGGGAUGUUCAGGCAAGCACUGCGGUCUGUCCUAAACCUCGGUGAGGAGGAGAUCACCGCCAAAGUUGAGUACUUGAAGAACACCUUCAGCUCCACAGAUGACGAGGUGGGCAUUGCUGGGUCGACGGCUCCAAUGGUGCUGCAGUCGUCUAAGGACUUUCUGCGGACUAGGUCUGAGUUCCUCAUCUCUGAGGUGGGUUUAGAACCGGCAUACAUUGCUCACCGAUCGACAAUGCUCACUUACAGCCUUAAGGGCCGGCUCAGACCACGGUACAACGUUCUAAAGUUUCUUAAGGAAAAUGGACUGCUCGAGGACAAGCGCAGCUACUAUUCAGCAGUCUUGAUGACUGAGAAGGUUCUCAUGGAAAAGUUCAUAUGCCUUCACAACGAAGCUGCCCCACACCUUGCUGAAGACUAUGCUGCCCCUUGCAAAGGGGAAAUGCCGACUAAUUUGAUAUCUACAUCACCCAAGAAGGGGCUAUGA
This 525-nucleotide ribosomal RNA is filed under the name Triticum aestivum (bread wheat). RNAcentral's name for it is "partial small subunit ribosomal RNA". The record is from RNAcentral. Lineage: Eukaryota; Viridiplantae; Streptophyta; Magnoliopsida; Poales; Poaceae.